RNAcentral lists this small nucleolar RNA (136 nucleotides) under Nannospalax galili (Upper Galilee mountains blind mole rat). RNAcentral's name for it is "Small nucleolar RNA SNORA81 (ENSNGAG00000006456.1)". It matches the Rfam family "Small nucleolar RNA SNORA81". The record is from Rfam by way of RNAcentral. Lineage: Eukaryota; Metazoa; Chordata; Mammalia; Rodentia; Spalacidae.
ACCUCCCAGCAGUGAAUUUGACUUACGAAGGCCUUUGGACACAAGAAGAAAAGUAACUGCACUGGAUCCCAAAGACAGGGGUGGACCUCUUUUUUAAUGUCCUGUGUCCUUUGUCUUAAGAUUUGGUGUAAUAUAU